RNAcentral lists this ribosomal RNA (662 nucleotides) under Stenotrophomonas maltophilia. RNAcentral's name for it is "bacterial SSU rRNA". It matches the Rfam family "Bacterial small subunit ribosomal RNA", at positions 392 to 1045 of the family's 1533-position model. The record is from RNAcentral. Lineage: Bacteria; Pseudomonadati; Pseudomonadota; Gammaproteobacteria; Lysobacterales; Lysobacteraceae.
CCAUACCGCGUGGGUGAAGAAGGCCUUCGGGUUGUAAAGCCCUUUUGUUGGGAAAGAAAUCCAGCUGGUUAAUACCCGGUUGGGAUGACGGUACCCAAAGAAUAAGCACCGGCUAACUUCGUGCCAGCAGCCGCGGUAAUACGAAGGGUGCAAGCGUUACUCGGAAUUACUGGGCGUAAAGCGUGCGUAGGUGGUCGUUUAAGUCCGUUGUGAAAGCCCUGGGCUCAACCUGGGAACUGCAGUGGAUACUGGGCGACUAGAGUGUGGUAGAGGGUAGCGGAAUUCCUGGUGUAGCAGUGAAAUGCGUAGAGAUCAGGAGGAACAUCCAUGGCGAAGGCAGCUACCUGGACCAACACUGACACUGAGGCACGAAAGCGUGGGGAGCAAACAGGAUUAGAUACCCUGGUAGUCCACGCCCUAAACGAUGCGAACUGGAUGUUGGGUGCAAUUUGGCACGCAGUAUCGAAGCUAACGCGUUAAGUUCGCCGCCUGGGGAGUACGGUCGCAAGACUGAAACUCAAAGGAAUUGACGGGGGCCCGCACAAGCGGUGGAGUAUGUGGUUUAAUUCGAUGCAACGCGAAGAACCUUACCUGGCCUUGACAUGUCGAGAACUUUCCAGAGAUGGAUUGGUGCCUUCGGGAACUCGAACACAGGUGCUGCA